CAGUAUUUCAGAUUACGUGAGCAAUGUGUGGAGGUAAAUUUUCAGAAAACAAAGAUUAACAAGAGGAAAUAAAAGAGGAGGGGUGCAUGAAGUCGUGGUCAUUUCUAGGAGUGAGUAACUUGGCCGGUAGGGUCAACCACUUCACCACUCUUUUGUCAUCUUCUCCAUUGCCUUUGUAAUCUCUCUCCUUAUAUCUCCCCUCUCUUUCCUUUCAUGCCUCUCCUCUCUUCUCAUCCUCUUCCCCUUCCUCUUCACCACCAUCGGCCUCUCCCUCUCUUUCCCUUCCUGCCUUCACGCAGUCGGCACUCUUUGAGGGAUGCAGAGAGAGAGAGAGAGAGAGAAAGAUCAGAGAGUAUUGAGUAAGUUUGAAGGUGAUAGCCAUGUAUGCGGGAGGAAGCUUUGUGUUUUGAGGGGAAUGUUGUCUGGCUCGAGGACCCUUCUUCUCGAUCCGCUCUGUCUCCAUCUCUCACUCAUCCUCUGGGCGUAUCUCACAGAUUUGGAGAUUGCGCGUGAUCUGAGCCUCAAGUGUCGUCGGACCAGGCUUCAUUCCCCCCAAUUUUUGCUUCCCCGGGAUUAUACGCCGAGAUCUCUGUCUACGCUUAGCAAGGGUUUCCACAACUAACACUGGGCUUCGAUCUGAAGGCCUGUGUGCUAGAUGAAGGAGAAAAGGGGUGACAGUUUUCGUCAUUUCUCCCUUGUCAACUCUGAUAAUAAGGUGAAACCUAUAUUUGAUUAGAAUUUUCGAUCAAUUUUUGUUCCACCCGCUCUCCCACGCACCCAUAUAUACACGCCCUUUCUAAUAUUGGAUUCUCCUCAAUUCCCUCAGUAGUAAAAAAAAGUCCUACAUUUUGUUUUCGGUGAACGAAGAAUCCUAUAUUUUGAUUGGAAGGUGCAAUGCAGAUCUUGUAACUCGUAAAUCUGCUAUUUUUUGUUCAUAAUAGCACGGAUCUUGCUAGAUUGUUUGGAUUAAAUUAAUAUAUCUUCAUCUUAGAUAUCCGUACACUGAGCAUGUAAAUGCAGUGUGAAAUUGAGGUUUGCAAGUACAUGCCAUUGCUGCGUUAAUCAAAGGGUGAUGUUAUGAAAAGUCCAGCUCCCCAGACAUCCAGAAGCAUGAGCCUGUUCUAUUUUAUAGUAGACGACCUUCUAUGAGAUUAUUUAAAUGGGUAAUAAUGCCCAGCCUCUCCAGAUUCUACAGAAUUAUGCCUCUAGAGCAUGUUUGGAGUGAGAAAAAUGGAGAAUGAAAGACACUGCUACAUUCUUCAGUCCAAACAUAGCUUUAAGCGAUUACCCUUUCUGCAGGUUGAAAGAGUAUAUGAGAAACUAUCAGAGGUGGUACCUACUAAUUAAAGCUUGUUAUUUUCUGCUAUAAUGGUGUGCAUCUAUGGGAAUUGAAUCAAUGAUUAAUGUAAUUAUAAGGGGUCGCCUUUUAUUAAUUUCUUUAUUGCUUCAUCUACCCGAGAACUCAGGGAAUUGGAAGAGUGACUGAUAGGGGUUGGCCGCUCGCAUGUGCAGCAGCAGAAUGAUAGGCAAAGGAAGAGUCAGCAGCUAGGUAGAGGCAUGUAGGGGAACACAAGAGGAAUGAUAUUUACAGUGUUCACUCUCUCAACCGGCUCAUAUCAGAUCACUAUUCUGGGGGAAAAAAAAAAAUCUAUGCGCUCUUCUGUAUUCUCUCUCCGGAUACGAGACACGUGAUUAUGUGAGAAUAGAUGAAGGGAUCCAAUUUGACUCACUCACCACUUCUUUUUUCUUUUGUUGUUUUCCCCUUUGUUUUCUUCAUUGAUUUCACGGAACCUUAUUCCCAGGUCCACUUGAAUGUGGUUUCAGUUCGCAAGCUUUAAAAGCAAGUCAUGUUGGCUUUUGUGCGCAUCGAUUAACAAUAAAAGAGGGUAAUAUUUCCAUCGUGAACCCUGAAGUUGAUGACCUCGUGAAGACUGAAGAGACAGAAAGCUGAGUGCAUAGCUGUGUGAAAACGAAAAGCUAGGAAACAGAAUGUCUCUCUCUUUCCUCAUCUUUGUUUUUGGUGUAAAGCCUAUUCUAAUUUUGACUUGGUGAUUGAUUCCCUGAAAAGCUCAGACCUUCAUUCAAUUUACUCUAUCCGUUUUCACCGUUUCCAUUUACCCUGACGUUUGGAUGCUCGGCGAUGAAAUUAAUAUCGUCAUCAAUAUCAAUAUCAUGAAGUAAUGAUACUUGAUGAUUCUAUGAAAUGAUUGACCUUCAUUUAAAAAAAAAAAAAAUCAAUUCCACCAAAAUUGCAAGGCCAUGGGUGAUGGGUGGGCCACCUCCUCGAUCAAAGUCCGCUUUGGCGUUUUAUGUUGAAGGUAGACGACUUUAAAGUGGCUGACACCAUUUCUCCCCCCCCCUUCCUUCUCUAGUCCCAAGUAAGAAUGUGAAUAAAUGGAUGAAAAAAAUACCGUGUUACAUUGUCUAUCUUUGCUGAUGUGUCGAUCUAAACGAAAGAUAUUACGAAACCCAUUUUGAGACUUGAUUCCCACAUAAAGCAGCGAGUAUUCAAAUU
Molecule: long non-coding RNA, 2515 nt
Organism: Prosopis cineraria
Lineage: Eukaryota; Viridiplantae; Streptophyta; Magnoliopsida; Fabales; Fabaceae
Exons: 2
Source: RefSeq, a predicted model, not a curated record